UAAAAAUUUAAAAAAAUUUGUCGUUAUUUUAUCUACAUAGUUAAUGUUUUACAUUUAUUGUCAAUAAAUAAAUUAAUAAAAACAUAUCACAUGCUCUUUCCCGAUUUAUUCUAAGAACACAUGGCAACACUGUUAGGCCUUCAUUUCCUUGUAUCUGUAGCUAACUUCUCGGACCCCGCAAUUUAAUGAAGUCCGAAUAUCCUAUUUGGUUUUGUUUUUUUUUGUUAAUUGUGUAGCGAAAUUUGUGAAAUUGUGAUAGCAAAUUAAAUAUGAAGUGGUUUAAACAUUGGAUACGCCUAUGGAUGACAGUUUCGCCAUCCAGCAGCCAUAUUAUAUCACGUGAUUUGGAAUGCCUAAUUGUCAUUGGGUGCAUUCAGCAGACGCAAUCGCUAACUAAUCGAUUAGUAAUCGAUUUGUGAUUUACAUGCUGAAUGUCACAAUUUAUGUGGCAUUCAGCAGAAAAUCACUAAUCGAUUAGUUAGCGAUUGUGUCUGCUGAAUGCACCCAUUGUCUGAUGAUCUUAUGUUUGAUUAUGUUGUUGUUGUUCGUUGUUGACAUUCUAACUUUUGAUAGGAUAAUAAGGAUAUUUUAAACACAUUUUAAAAGAAAAAGAACCUUAGUAGUCAGUAGAAAGGAAAGUAAUUUUAUAUUCCAACCGUAUUAUUACUUCUGAAAUAUUAUCAUCUUGUGGGAAAACCGCAGUGAUUGUGCCUUCAAACGGGCAAUUUGAAAGGACAACCCCAACAAAAACCAUUAUAUGUAAUUGUAAAUUGAAAUGAUUGAUAAUAAAAAUGUUUGUACAUAUGUAAUUGUACAUGUAAAGCUGGAAAUUCAGGCAUACCAUUGAAAAUUUGAAAAAAUUAAGCACCACAGACAUCAAACAACAGUGGGGAUAAUUAACAAAACAAUAAUACAACAUAGUCAACAAUAAAGUCCUACCAGUCUGCUGAUAAAUGGGCUAGUGAUAUUGUACUAAAUUAUGAUUUAGCUCUAUUUUACUCAAAUAAUGUUGAAGUAAGCUACAGUAACUCUGUUGAAAUGUCUUUAGCUAUGCUAAACCAAACUGUAGAAGCAUGGAAAAAGCUGACGUGACUGCAAGUAACUGGGACAAUUUAUUGCCAUUUAUUUACUUAUGAUAAAAAUAAAAGCCCAAGUUGGCCACUUAAAGUCGACCAAUUGUAUAGUUCCAAUUUUAAAGAAAAUACUGUACCCUUCCGUGGGAAACAAUUAUGAAUCAGUUGCUUUAAAUAUGUAUGAAAAAAUAACUCGACUGGCAGUGUCAAUGGAAUUGUUUCCGGAAAAUGUCUAGAAAUAAACUGUCCUCUGGCAGGUAAAACAAAGUCUGUGCAAUCAAUUUUACGUGACCUUAAAUAUUUAUGCAUAAUUGAGGGAAAACAAUAUUAUGUUAAAGAAAAAUCAUAUGUAUUUAUUGACAAGUGCAAUUGCUACUUACAGGACUACAAAUAUGUUAUUUUGUAGUGUUUUGUCCAUUUGAUAAGUCCACACUUCUUAUUAAAGUACCAUUUAAUGAUGAAUUUAUACAAGAAAUGUUAAAAAUUUUGGUAGAGGUAUAUUUUUACAAUGUAUUAUCAGUUUUAUUCCAAUUAUAUAAGUAAAAAACUUGUUUUAAAA
Long non-coding RNA from Diabrotica virgifera virgifera (western corn rootworm), 1632 nucleotides. RefSeq lists it as uncharacterized. The record is from RefSeq and is a predicted model, not a curated record. Lineage: Eukaryota; Metazoa; Arthropoda; Insecta; Coleoptera; Chrysomelidae. The transcript is spliced from 2 exons.